This 29-nucleotide non-coding RNA is filed under the name Homo sapiens (human). The record is from RNAcentral. Lineage: Eukaryota; Metazoa; Chordata; Mammalia; Primates; Hominidae.
UACAGCAAGACAGCAUCAUCUAUGAGUCA